RNAcentral lists this ribosomal RNA (465 nucleotides) under uncultured bacterium. Its description in RNAcentral is "partial 16S ribosomal RNA". It matches the Rfam family "Bacterial small subunit ribosomal RNA", at positions 28 to 507 of the family's 1533-position model. The record is from RNAcentral.
GACGAACGCUGGCGGCGUGCUUAACACAUGCAAGUCGAACGGAAAGGCCCCUUCGGGGGUACUCGAGUGGCGAACGGGUGAGCAACACGUGAGUAACCUGCCCUUGACUUCGGGAUAACUUCAGGAAACUGGGGCUAAUACCGGAUAGGAAUCCUUGCUGCAUGGUGGGGGUUGGAAAGCUUCGGCGGUUUUGGAUGGACUCGCGGCUUAUCAGCUUGUUGGUGGGGUAGUGGCUUACCAAGGCUUUGACGGGUAGCCGGCCUGAGAGGGCGACCGGCCACAUUGGGACUGGGAUACGGCCCAGACUCCUACGGGGGGCAGCAAUGGGGAAUAUUGCACAAUGGGCGGAAGCCUGAUGCAGCAACGCCGCGGGCGGGAUGACGGCCUUCGGGUUGUAAACCGCUUUCAGCAGGGGCGAAGCUUGUGGUGACGGUACCUGCAGAAGAAGCACCGGCUAACUACGUG